This 103-nucleotide microRNA precursor is filed under the name Marmota monax (woodchuck). Lineage: Eukaryota; Metazoa; Chordata; Mammalia; Rodentia; Sciuridae. The record is from RNAcentral.
AGUGGGAUAGCCGGGUCAAAUGGUGGUUCUAUUCCCAGCUUUACAAGGAAUCUCCAUACGGCUUUCCAGAGUGGUUGCACCACUUUGCAGUCCCACCAGCAAU